ACAACAACAACAACAACAACAACAACAACAACAACGAAGAAAAGGGACAACAACAACAACAACAACAACAACAACGAAGAAAAGGGGCCUUGGGGCUGUAGGGCUGCAGUCCAAGAAAAAGGUUCUGAUGGUCAGUGAGAAAUUUGAUUUACAAGAUUAAUUAUUAAAAAAUGCUUGGAGUUUCUCAUCUUCAGAAUCAAGAAAACAGUGGAAUUUGAUUGAUUCAGUGGAGUGCAGCCAAGCUUUUCAGCUGCCAAGUUUAGUGCCUGAAGUUCUUUCUGCUGGCAUCAGAACCAGAUCUCCACAUGAGCGGGACUUUCCUUAUGCUCCACAUUCCAACAAUUACCAUCAUGUUUUAAAAUAAGCAAGGCAACUCUUCGUGCAUUGGAAAUUAUGAGAAAUCCUUGGAAAAUGAAAAGCAGAAGGGAUUAUGUUAAAGCCUUAAGCUAAGGCAAGAUCAAAUGAGAACCAAGAGGUUUAUUCUCCAGCACUUGUGAACCAGAGAGUCUCUGAGCUUGGAGAUUCCAGACAAAUGGGAUGAAGGGGUGCCAUGCACACUGAGGAUUCCUGCAGCCCCAUCCUCCCUGCCAGCUCAGAAUGCCAAGAGCCACAGGACACUUGAAUAUAUUCAGACCUACUAUGUUUCUCAGAGCAUUCUUCCUUGUGCAUGGCUCUGAAUCAUGUUUCAAGUGCUUGUACUCGGACCCUAUCAUCCACAAGGUAAAGAACCUGAGUGUCAGAGACGUCUCACAAGUACUAAGCAGUGAAGCUUGAUUUGAGUUCACUUCAGGCUGAUUCCAGAAAUAGUGAAAUAUAAUUCCUCCUCAAAUAAGCGAUACAAUUAGACCUCUAGUUUGUUGGUAAUAAAAUUUUGAAAGUCUGUCUUUGGCCUUUUUCUCUCCCCUGGGACUCUCUCAUCCAGGCCUGGUAUCUCCCUGAGUGCUGUAUUGCAAUAGCGGCCCACUCAGCAUCUUUAUAUGCAUGUCUAAGAGGUCUCUGAAACCCAAUGUGCCCUAAAACUCCUGAUUUUUGCCUCCUAAUUCCCCACACCACACUUUCCCUCCCUCAGUUUUCCUCCUUUUAGGAAAUAGCUAUCUAAUAGCUCAACUUCAAAAAUGAAGAAGCUGCUUUCAACUCCUUUGUUUUCCUUAUUCCCAUAAUUAGUCAAUCAGCAAUAAUGUCUGUCAUGUUUCAAAAAUAUUCACUGGCUUCUCUUCCCUUCUACUAACUGACCAAAUCACCAUCUGCUCUCACCUGAAUUAACACAAUCACCUCUUACUUACCACCUUUCUCUGUGUCCUUACCAAACUUGACAGUGUAUUCGCCAAAAGGCAGCCAAAGUUAUAUUUUUAAAAUAGAAAUUAAAAUAAAAUAAAAUAUAAAAAUAGAAAUCAUGCUGUUUCCUUCUUAAAUCCCUCUAAUAUCCUUUUAUUUCACUUAUAAUAAAAUCCAUAAGCCUUAUGAUUUGCAAGGUCCUGAAUUAUCGGGCCUGUAAUUCUCCCCUGUCUUCUAUAAACACCAUUCCAACAACUCUGGCCUUUUUCUUUGCGUAGUACAUUGAGCUCCUUCUUUCCUAAGGGACUCUGAACUCUAUACUUUCCCUUUCUGUAGAUGAGCAUCUGCUCUGGAGCCAGGCUACCACAAUGUGAAUACCAGCUCCUCCAUUAACCCACUAUGAACAGUUCUUGACCUUUUCUCUGCCUCAGUUCUUUCAUAUGUAAAAUGGGAAUAGUUAUAAUACCUGUCUCAUACUGUUGUAGUAAAGCUUAAAUGAGUUAAUAUGCCAUUGGGAUUUUGAUAGGAAUUGCAUUGAAUCUGUAGAUCACUUUUGGGUAGUACAGACAUUCUAAGAAUAUUAAUUCUUCCAGUCCAGGAACAUGAGAUGUCUUUCCAUUUGUCUGUGUCUGCUUUAAUUUAUUUCAAUAUUAUUUUAUGCAUUUCAGGGUACAAGUUAUUUGCCUCCUUGGCUAUACUUAUUCCUAAGUAUUUUAUCUUUAAUGCUGUUGUGAAUGAAAUUGUUUUCUUAAUUUCCUUUUCAGACAGUUCCUUGUUAGUGUACAGAAGUGCAACUAAUUUUUAUAUGUUGAUUUUGUAUCCUGCAACUUUACUAAAUAUGUUUAUGGCAUAGGUUGUGGUGAUGAUUUCAUAAGUGUAUACUUCUCUCCAAGCUCAUCAAGCUGUACACAUUAAACAUGCACAGAUUUUAUAUGUUCAUACCUCUAUAAAGUGGCUUAAAAAUGAGUACAUGAGUCAAUAUACACUAGUACUUUCCAGCAAGGGAUAGUUGUUGUUAUUGGUGAAGAUUAUUAUUCCUUUUGAUCUUUGUGUGGGUGGUUCUUUCUUUCAGUUUUCAGCUUUCAGAGAUGCCUUCUUUGGCUAUUCUGUCUGUACUUGUCCCAUACUGGAAUUUCACACUAUUUUCUUCCUAACACUAUCUUCAUCUGAGAUUUUCUUACUUCUCUUAAUUUUUAUUGCUUCUUUCCAUUUUGAAUACAAACUCCAGGAGAGCAGUGGCACCAUG
Molecule: long non-coding RNA, 2521 nt
Filed under: Homo sapiens (human)
Lineage: Eukaryota; Metazoa; Chordata; Mammalia; Primates; Hominidae
Description: HSALNT0187891
Source: RNAcentral